RNAcentral lists this ribosomal RNA (278 nucleotides) under uncultured bacterium. RNAcentral describes it as "partial 16S ribosomal RNA". It matches the Rfam family "Bacterial small subunit ribosomal RNA", at positions 235 to 507 of the family's 1533-position model. The record is from RNAcentral.
GUCCCAUUAGCUAGAUGGUAAGGUAACGGCUUACCAUGGCUACGAUGGGUAGGGGUCCUCGAGAGGGAAAGUCCCCCACCACUGGUACUGAGACACGGACCAGACUCCUACGGGAGGCAGCAGUGAGGAAUAUUGGUCAAUGGACGCAAGUCUGAACCAGCCAUGCCGCGUGCAGGAUGACGGUCCUAUGGAUUGUAAACUGCUUUUGUACGAGAAGAAACAACAUUACGUGUAAUGUCUUGACGGUAUCGUAAGAAUAAGGAUCGGCUAACUCCGUG